RNAcentral lists this ribosomal RNA (861 nucleotides) under uncultured Neocallimastigales. RNAcentral describes it as "partial large subunit ribosomal RNA". It matches the Rfam family "Eukaryotic large subunit ribosomal RNA", at positions 1 to 646 of the family's 3401-position model. The record is from RNAcentral. Lineage: Eukaryota; Fungi; Neocallimastigomycota; Neocallimastigomycetes; Neocallimastigales.
UAUGUGAUCGUCUCUCGCAUAUCAAUAAGCGGAGGAAAAGGGGGCUAUUACCUACGCUUAGGAUGUUGACGAGACUGUCGAUCUCAUCUAUACAUGACUCUGUGCAUAUCAAUAAGCGGAGGAAAAGAAACUAACAAGGAUUCCCCUAGUAACGGCGAGUGAAGCGGGAAGAGCUCAAAUUUGAAAUCUUAAAGGGUUUCCCUUUACGAAUUGUAGUUUAAAGAAGUGUUUUCUGUUGAGGUUUUGGUAAAAGUUCUUUGGAAUAGGACAUCAUAGAGGGUGAGAAUCCCGUAUUUGACCUUUACUUUCAACUUUGUGAUACACUUUCAAAGAGUCGGAUUGUUUGGGAAUGCAGUCCAAAAUGGGUGGUAAAUUUCAUCUAAAGCUAAAUAUUGGCGAGAGACCGAUAGCGAACAAGUACCGUGAGGGAAAGAUGAAAAGAACUUUGAAAAGAGAGUUAAACAGUACGUGAAAUUGUCAAAAGGGAAGCGUUUGACACCAGUGUUGUUUUUCUGAAAAUCAAUUAAAGAACUGUUUAUGCUAAGUUGUUUAGACUUUAUCAGCUAACUGUUUAGUUUUGAGCUUUUCUUUAAUGCACUUUUCAGUUAACAAGUCAACAUCAAUUUCUUUUGCUGUAAAAAAGCUUGAGGAAGGUGGCUUGAGAUUCGUCUUAAGUGUUUAUAGCCUCUUGCCUAUGCAGUCGGAGAGAUUGAGGUCUGCAGCGUAGAUCCUUCGGGGCUAAAUGCAUUUGUGCUAAGUUAUAGCAUUUUAUAGACAACUUGUUGACUAUGAUUUGUCUUGUAGCUUACUCGCUUAUGUUAUUUUACCUACGCUUAGGAUGUUGACGAGACUGUCGAUCUC